Vicia villosa (hairy vetch) is the source of this 1024-nucleotide long non-coding RNA. RefSeq lists it as uncharacterized. The transcript has 4 exons. Lineage: Eukaryota; Viridiplantae; Streptophyta; Magnoliopsida; Fabales; Fabaceae. The record is from RefSeq and is a predicted model, not a curated record.
UUUAAAUGAUGAUAACUAUAACUACUUGUAAAAUUUUGAAUAUUAAUAUUGCUUUCACAAAUUAUUUUUCCUCCAAAUUUUGUUUCUGUAUUAGCUGAUGAAUUAUUGGCUGAUACGGUUUUAGGUUGUCGACAACGUGAUGGAUAUGGCUUGAUGGAUACAAGUCGGUUUGGCACAUGGUACUGAGGCAUGUUGCUUGGCUUUUAUUUAUCUGAAAGUUGAGAUCUGAACAUGUUUGUUUUAGUUGUGCAUAUAACAGUUUUUUUGUAGGUUGUGGCACUGGAAAACAGGAUGAUGAAGAUUGAAGACUUUAGAAAUUUCCGGAGUCAAUCAUAUCUGUUCGUGGACUGCUAAGAGCCUACCAUCUGCAGCUUCACUUGCUACCAUAGCUUGGAAUUUUACACUUCUUGUCAUGGGUUUUCUGCAGCUUUGCGUGGAAAGAGAAUGAGCUUCAAAUUAGAAACGCACGUCUGGUUUUACUAUCUAGAAUAAGCUUCUUCAAGGCAAAAGGUCUUUCAAGUUCAUAUGGUUAUGGCCUUCAAAAAUACCGGAAAUCUGUUGAGGCUGUUAUGAGAAAAAAUAAUAACGGAAACGGAACUCUGACCAAAUUCUCUUAACUUAAUUUUCAUUUUCCUAUGCAGCUGUAAAUGGUAGAGGGUUCAUCGCACACCACAUUUCAUUUCGAAACACUGCAGGUCCAAAGAAGCACCAAUCAGUGGCAUUAAGAUCAGACUCUGACGUCUCUGUGUUUUACAGAUGUGGGAUAUUUAGGCCCAAUUGACUUUGCAGUUGGCAGCAUAUAUAUUGAAUCAUUCAUUCUUUGAUGCUUGGUUGUUGAAAUGAAAACAUUUUGGUUAAGGUUAUUUGCUAUGGUCUUGCAGUGGAGAAGAAGAAACAACAAAUCUGGUGCUUGGCAAGUUUAACUCGGGUCACUCUUUUACGUCUCUCAAUAAGUAUGAUAUGAUUCAUUUAUUUAAUUUUAUAUUUUUAUUUUCCAUCCGGAUCAUUUUCAGUUAUGAUAUUU